GAAAAGGCUGCAAGCCAAGUACAAUACGCGCUGGAAGGAAGAGGGACCAGAGCUUACCAUUGCAGCAAGGAUCCGUCCCAAUAUUGGAGAUGCAUUCUUCACCUUCCCAGGAUCUUCCUUUUGCUGGCCCUGCACACUUGCAGAAAUAUAUGGGAAAUAAGCAAACAUGAUGUAAUGGUUACAGCACAGGACUUUGAGUUACUAGUGAACUUGGGUCACACACAGAGAGGAGACAAAAGGGUCCAGGAAAAGAUAUUCAUCAGUGACCUUCACUCUUACCUCCACUCUGCUGAACAGAACAUGGUUUCAACACGCCAGGAGCAAUUUUUUGUAAAGGAUGAAAGGUGAUUUUUGCUUAUAACAAAGAUGCCAGAGUGAGAGAAUCUUCAACUGACCCUUAAAAUGACAAAGAAAAAACCCAUUUUAAUGCUUAUUUUUGGCAGGUGUGAAAUGCAGCCAAGAUAAAGUUGAAUCUUCUUCAACUGGGACAAACUGGUGGAGAAGCCGUUAUCCUGAUUAACUGGAUUUUUCCAAUUAAAAGAAGAGAUUUCACAAAUAAAAUCUAAAGAGCCUUCAAAUAAAUACUGCCCUGUACCUAAUGCAAGAUUUAAAAUGAUAGUCUCUGCAUUCUGAACAGGGUCCUGACUACACUUGCCAUUAUUAUUAAAAUUAUAAUAAUAGUGCGUAGGCGCCUCUGCCAUGAACAAGGACCCCAGUGUACCAGGAGCUGUACAAACACAGAACAAACAGACCAUCCCCACCCCAAUGAGUUUAGAAUCUAGUAGUUUCCUGCCCUGGUUCAGUUGCCUCUCAAAGUGAUAACUCUCCUCCAUGAGUUAUCGACCAGGAACUUUUCACCCCAAAUGCAUGAGCGGCUGUUGUUGAGCUAAGGAACUGAAGAGGUACCGGGGUGACAGAUUUUUCCAAGGUAUUUAGGCAUCUAAAGGUGCAGCUA
This is a long non-coding RNA of Chrysemys picta bellii (western painted turtle), 955 nucleotides long. RefSeq lists it as uncharacterized. The record is from RefSeq and is a predicted model, not a curated record. Lineage: Eukaryota; Metazoa; Chordata; Testudines; Emydidae.